This 440-nucleotide ribosomal RNA is filed under the name uncultured bacterium. Its description in RNAcentral is "partial 16S ribosomal RNA". It matches the Rfam family "Bacterial small subunit ribosomal RNA", at positions 338 to 795 of the family's 1533-position model. The record is from RNAcentral.
CCUACGGGAGGCAGCAGUGGGGAAUAUUGCGCAAUGAGCGAAACCCUGAUGCAGCGACACCGCGUGAGUGAAGAAGGAAUUCGUUAUGUAAACCUCUAUCAUCAGGGAAGAAAAUGACGGUACCUGAGUAAGAAGCCCCGGCGAACUACGUGCCAGCAGCCGCGGUAAUACUUAGGGGGCACGCGUUAUCCGGAUUUACUGGGUGUAAAGGGAGCGUAGACGGCAGUGCAAGUCUGGAGUGAAAGGCGGGUGCUCAACCCCCGGACUGCUCUGGAAACUGGGCGGCUGGAGUGCAGGAGGGGUAGGCGGAAUGCCUGGUGUAGCGGUGAAAUGCGUAGAUAUCAGGAGGAACACCGGUGGCGAAGGCGGCCUGCUGGAUUGCGACUGACGUUGAGGACCGAAAGCGUGGGGAGCAAACAGGAUUAGAUACCCGGGUAGUC